CUUCUUUACCGAAGACUGCAGCAUAAAUAUAUAGCUAUUAAGGCGAUGAAGAAAAAAUUGCGUUAAAUUUAAAAAUCUGAUAAAUAAAAUUUAAUAAAAUUUAUUUUGUUAAUUUUUUAUUUUAAGAUGAUAAAACGUAAGAUAGCAGAGCCUUUU
RNAcentral lists this non-coding RNA (156 nucleotides) under Plasmodium gaboni. RNAcentral also lists the same sequence under 2 other names. Lineage: Eukaryota; Apicomplexa; Aconoidasida; Haemosporida; Plasmodiidae. The record is from RNAcentral.